Molecule: unclassified non-coding RNA, 337 nt
Filed under: soil metagenome
Description: partial contains 5.8S ribosomal RNA, internal transcribed spacer 2, and large subunit ribosomal RNA
Rfam family: 5.8S ribosomal RNA (bases 1-121)
Source: RNAcentral
GAUGAAGAACGUAGCGAAAUGCGAUAAGUAAUGCGAAUUGCAGAAUUUCCGUGAGUCAUCGAAUCUUUGAACGCACAUUGCGCCCUUUGGUAUUCCGAAGGGCAUGCCUGUUCGAGCGUCAUUUCAACCAUCAAGCCCCCGGCUUGUGUUGGGGACCUGCGGCUGCCGCAGGCCCUGAAAAGCAGUGGCGGGCUCGCCGUCACACCGAGCGUAGUAGCAUACAUCUCGCUCUGGGCGUGCUGCGGGUUCCGGCCGUUAAACCACCUUCAUAACCCAAGGUUGACCUCGGAUCAGGUAGGAAGACCCGCUGAACUUAAGCAUAUCAAUAAGCGGAGGA